UGGGGAAUAUUGCACAAUGGGGGAAACCCUGAUGCAGCAACGCCGCGUGAAGGAAGAAGGGUUUCGGCUCGUAAACUUCUAUCGAUGGGGACGAAUAAAUGACGGUACCCAAGUAAGAAGCCCCGGCUAACUACGUGCCAGCAGCCGCGGUAAUACGUAGGGGGCAAGCGUUAUCCGGAAUUAUUGGGUGUAAAGGGUGAGUAGGCGGUAGUUCAAGUCAUGUGUGAAAAGUUCGUGCUUAACAUGAACCCUGCACAAGAAACUGAACCACUAGAGUACAGGAGAGGUAAGCGGAAUUCCCAGUGUAGCGGUGAAAUGCGUAGAUAUUGGGAAGAACACCAGUGGCGAAGGCGGCUUACUGGACUGAAACUGACGCUGAGUCACGAAAGCGUGGGGAGCAAACA
This 404-nucleotide ribosomal RNA is filed under the name uncultured Lachnospiraceae bacterium. RNAcentral describes it as "partial 16S ribosomal RNA". It matches the Rfam family "Bacterial small subunit ribosomal RNA", at positions 355 to 774 of the family's 1533-position model. Lineage: Bacteria; Bacillati; Bacillota; Clostridia; Lachnospirales; Lachnospiraceae. The record is from RNAcentral.